This is a non-coding RNA of Triticum aestivum (bread wheat), 135 nucleotides long. The record is from Rfam. NCBI's taxonomy places the organism in Eukaryota, Viridiplantae, Streptophyta, Magnoliopsida, Poales, Poaceae.
GUGCUACUCCCUCCGUCCCAAAAUUCUUGUCUUAAAUUUGUUCAAACACGAAUGUAUCAAGUCACGUUUUAGUAUUAGAUACAUCCGUAUCAAGACAAAUCUAAGACAAGAAUUUUAGAACGGAGGAAGUACAUU